UACGUAGGGUGCGAGCGUUAAUCGGAAUUACUGGGCGUAAAGCGUGCGCAGGCGGUUUUGUAAGACAGAUGUGAAAUCCCCGGGCUUAACCUGGGAACUGCGUUUGUGACUGCAAGACUCGAGUGCGGCAGAGGGGGGUGGAAUUCCACGUGUAGCAGUGAAAUGCAUAGAGAUGUGGAGGAACACCGAUGGCGAAGGCAGCCCCCUGGGUCGACACUGACGCUCAUGUACGAAAGCGUGGGGAGCAAACAGG
This 253-nucleotide ribosomal RNA is filed under the name uncultured bacterium. RNAcentral describes it as "partial 16S ribosomal RNA". It matches the Rfam family "Bacterial small subunit ribosomal RNA", at positions 524 to 776 of the family's 1533-position model. The record is from RNAcentral.